Molecule: ribosomal RNA, 492 nt
Filed under: uncultured bacterium
Lineage: Bacteria
Description: partial 16S ribosomal RNA
Rfam family: Bacterial small subunit ribosomal RNA
Source: RNAcentral
AGUGAACGCUGGCGGUAGGCCUAACACAUGCAAGUCGAACGGCAGCACAGUAAGAGCUUGCUCUUACGGGUGGCGAGUGGCGGACGGGUGAGGAAUACAUCGGAAUCUACUUUUUCGUGGGGGAUAAUGUAAGGAAACUUACGCUAAUACCGCAUACGACCUACGGGUGAAAGCAGGGGAUCUUCGGACCUUGCGCGAUUGAAUGAGCCGAUGUCGGAUUAGCUAGUUGGCGGGGUAAAGGCCCACCAAGGCGACGAUCCGUAGCUGGUCUGAGAGGAUGAUCAGCCACACUGGAACUGAGACACGGGCCAGACGCCUACGGGAGGGAGCAGUGGGGAAUAUUGGACAAUGGGGGCAAGCCUGAUCCAGCCAGACCGCGUGGGUGAAGAAGGCCUUCGGGUUUUAAAGCCCUUUUGUUGGGAAAGAAAAGCAGCAGGUUAAUACCCCGCUGUUCUGACGGUACCCAAAGAAUAAGCACCGGCUAACUUCGUG